Pelobates cultripes (western spadefoot toad) is the source of this 1025-nucleotide non-coding RNA. Lineage: Eukaryota; Metazoa; Chordata; Amphibia; Anura; Pelobatidae. The record is from the annotation of a GenBank genome assembly.
CUCCAGAUCUUGGCCCGGUGCUCAGCUGCACACAAGUACAGUCUCCAAAAAGAAAGCCAGCACUCAAGGACUUCAACAUGAAAAAAUAGGCAUUUAAUCCAAGUGGUCAACGUUUCAGUUCACAACUGUGAACUUUCCCAGAAUUAUGAUUGUUAUGAUAGUGGUAGGUUAAAUUAUUAUUUUUUUUUAUGCUCAUCAUCAGGGCCGUCUUUAGCGCGGGGCAAACGGGGCAGCUGCCCCGGGCCCAGUUGCUCCUGGGGGGCCCCAGAGCAGCUGCCCCGCAGGCCCCGCGAUUUGCGCAGCCCACCUUGGAUCCGGCGGUGCCGCUCUGUCCCACACGCUAAAGAGGGCCCCCGGGUGGCCCAUGCACUAAAGGCCACCCGGUGGGCAUUUGUCAGCUGGGGCCCGGUCGGGCGCUGUGACGCUUAAACAGCGCGACCGGGCCCCUUCCUGUUUGGCAGCCGGCUGGGAGGAAGUGAAUGUCGCACGUCACUUCCUCCUACCGUAGAUCAGAGCUGCGCGGGAGGAGGGGAGUUUCAGAGGAGAACUCCCAACUGCCUCAGCCUGCCACUGGACCCCAGGGAAACCACUCUCCAGAAAAGGUAAGGAUGGUUGGAGGGUGGCUAAAUGUAUGUCAGUAUGUCUGUGUGUGUGUCAGACAGUAUGUCUGUCUGUGUGUAUGUCAGUAUGUCUGUGUGUGUCAGUAUGUCUGUGAGUGUGUGUGUCAGUAUGUCUGUCUGUGUGUUAUGUCAGUAUGUCUGUGUGUGUCAGUAUGUCUGUGUGUGUCAGUAUGUCUAUCUGUGUGUUAUGUCAGUAUGCCUGUGUGUGUCAGCAUGUCUGUGUGUGUGUCAAUAGUUUGUCAGUGUAUGUGUGUCUGUGUGUGUGUCUGUCUGUCUGUGUGUGUCAAUAUGUAUGUGUAUGUGUCAGUAUGUCUGUCUGUGUGUCCGUGUGUGUUAGUAUGUAUCUGUGAAUGUUUUAAUAUGUAUGUCUGUGUGUGUAUGUGUCAGUAUGUCAGUGUGAUUGGG